Myotis lucifugus (little brown bat) is the source of this 75-nucleotide non-coding RNA. Lineage: Eukaryota; Metazoa; Chordata; Mammalia; Chiroptera; Vespertilionidae. The record is from Rfam.
GGUGGUUCUCAGGUGAUGCACCCCGGAAUCUGACUCCCUCCUUUCUCGUUCCGGAUGCAUCACCCGAGAAUCACA